RNAcentral lists this transfer RNA (70 nucleotides) under bovine gut metagenome. It matches the Rfam family "tRNA". Rfam says of the family: Transfer RNA (tRNA) molecules are approximately 80 nucleotides in length. Their secondary structure includes four short double-helical elements and three loops (D, anti-codon, and T loops). Further hydrogen bonds mediate the characteristic L-shaped molecular structure. tRNAs have two regions of fundamental functional importance: the anti-codon, which is responsible for specific mRNA codon recognition, and the 3' end, to which the tRNAs corresponding amino acid is attached (by aminoacyl-tRNA synthetases). tRNAs cope with the degeneracy of the genetic code in two manners: having more than one tRNA (with a specific anti-codon) for a particular amino acid; and 'wobble' base-pairing, i.e. permitting non-standard base-pairing at the 3rd anti-codon position. The record is from RNAcentral.
CGGAUGUAGUUCAUUUGGUAGAGCGUCAGCUUCCCAAGCUGAAUGUAGCGGGUUCGAGUCCCGUCAUCCG